AGAGGAAAUUUCUUGAUUCUUGAUAUUUUAGCCAAUGGUUUUAAUUAGUUGGAAAACAAUAUUUAGCAGUACAAUAACUUUACUCUGAAUGUCAUCAUUGUGCAAAAGGCUAAAAAAUUAUUUUAAUAUAGAAAUUCACUUCCAAAUUUUCUGAAUAAUUUUCAAGAGGUACAUUAUGGAAACUCAAUAAACUCAAGUGUGGAAAAACAUAACUGAGCUAUUUAAGAUAAGACUCCAAGAGGGGACAGUGAGAUUAAACUUCCUGUGGUGUUUUUAAAAAACUAAACAGUUUUUAAUAAAUGUAACAUUGAGGUUUUAACCUGUUGGUAGUGACUGUCUAUAAUAAAAAAUUAUAGAUAUUUGAGAUUUUUUCCUUCCUUUGGGGGACACUUAAAUAUAGAAAAUGACUGAAGUCAUAAUGGCAAAGCCAGGAAACAAAAGAAAGGAAGAAAUAACUAUAUAUUCUAUUAACCUAAAAGUUAGUUACCCAGAAUUUUUCAUAUUGUAGCGAGGGCUAGAGUUU
This 523-nucleotide long non-coding RNA is filed under the name Bos taurus (domestic cattle). Its description in RNAcentral is "long non-coding RNA NONBTAT015872". Lineage: Eukaryota; Metazoa; Chordata; Mammalia; Artiodactyla; Bovidae. The record is from RNAcentral.